This 58-nucleotide transfer RNA is filed under the name Allacta bruna. RNAcentral's name for it is "tRNA-Ser". Lineage: Eukaryota; Metazoa; Arthropoda; Insecta; Blattodea; Pseudophyllodromiidae. The record is from RNAcentral.
AGUUAAAUUAAUUAUGUCUUGAAAACAUUAAUAAAGGAACUUAAAUUCCUAUUAACUU